UGGGGAAUUUUGGACAAUGGGCGAAAGCCUGAUCCAGCAAUGCCGCGUGCAGGAUGAAGGCCCUCGGGUUGUAAACUGCUUUUGUACGGAACGAAAAGCCUGGGGCUAAUAUCCCCGGGUCAUGACGGUACCGUAAGAAUAAGCACCGGCUAACUACGUGCCAGCAGCCGCGGUAAUACGUAGGGUGCAAGCGUUAAUCGGAAUUACUGGGCGUAAAGCGUGCGCAGGCGGUUUUGUAAGACAGUGGUGAAAUCCCCGGGCUCAACCUGGGAACUGCCAUUGUGACUGCAAGGCUAGAGUGCGGCAGAGGGGGAUGGAAUUCCGCGUGUAGCAGUGAAAUGCGUAGAUAUGCGGAGGAACACCGAUGGCGAAGGCAAUCCCCUGGGCCUGCACUGACGCUCAUGCACGAAAGCGUGGGGAGCAAACAGGAUUAGAUACCCUGGUAGUCCACGCCCUAAACGAUGUCAACUGGUUGUUGGGUCUUAACUGACUCAGUAACGAAGCUAACGCGUGAAGUUGACCGCCUGGG
RNAcentral lists this ribosomal RNA (529 nucleotides) under Comamonas sp. enrichment culture. RNAcentral describes it as "bacterial SSU rRNA". It matches the Rfam family "Bacterial small subunit ribosomal RNA", at positions 355 to 877 of the family's 1533-position model. Lineage: Bacteria; Pseudomonadati; Pseudomonadota; Betaproteobacteria; Burkholderiales; Comamonadaceae. The record is from RNAcentral.